Molecule: ribosomal RNA, 445 nt
Filed under: uncultured bacterium
Lineage: Bacteria
Description: partial 16S ribosomal RNA
Rfam family: Bacterial small subunit ribosomal RNA
Source: RNAcentral
GUGAGGAAUAUUGGUCAAUGGACGAGAGUCUGAACCAGCCAAGUCGCGUGAAGGAAGACGGUUCUAUGAAUUGUAAACUUCUUUUGUGCAGGAAUAAAGUGGGUUACGUGUAACCUUUUGUAUGUACUGUACGAAUAAGGAUCGGCUAACUCCGUGCCAGCAGCCGCGGUAAUACGGAGGAUCCGAGCGUUCUCCGGAUUUAUUGGGUUUAAAGGGUGCGUAGGUGGAUUGAUAAGUCAGCGGUGAAAGUUUGCAGCUUAACUGUAAAAUUGCCGUUGAAACUGUCGGUCUUGAGUGCAAAUGAGGUAGGCGGAAUGUGUUGUGUAGCGGUGAAAUGCUUAGAUAUAACACAGAACUCCGAUUGCGAAGGCAGCUUACUGGGAUGCAACUGACACUGAUGCACGAAAGCGUGGGUAUCAAACAGGAUUAGAUACCCGAGUAGUCC